AACGAACGCUGGCGGCAGGCCUAACACAUGCAAGUCGAGCGAGCAUUUCGGUGCUAGCGGCGGACGGGUGAGUAACGCGUGGGAACGUGCCCUUUUCUGCGGAAUAGUCCUGGGAAACUGGGGGUAAUACCGCAUACGCCCUUUUGGGGAAAGAUUUAUCGGAGAAGGAUCGGCCCGCGUUGGAUUAGGUAGUUGGUGGGGGAAUGGCCCACCAAGCCGACGAUCCAUAGCUGGUGUGAGAGGAUGACCAGCCACACUGGGACUGAGACACGGCCCAGACUCCUACGGGAGGCAGCAGUGGGGAAUCUUAGACAAUGGGGGCAACCCUGAUCUAGCCAUGCCGCGUGAGUGAUGAAGGCCUUAGGGUUGUAAAGCUCUUUCAGCUGGGAAGAUAAUGACGGUACCAGCAGAAGAAGCCCCGGCUAACUCCGUG
RNAcentral lists this ribosomal RNA (433 nucleotides) under uncultured bacterium. RNAcentral describes it as "partial 16S ribosomal RNA". It matches the Rfam family "Bacterial small subunit ribosomal RNA", at positions 29 to 507 of the family's 1533-position model. The record is from RNAcentral.